ACUCCUACGGGAGGCAGCAGUGGGGAAUAUUGCACAAUGGGCGCAAGCCUGAUGCAGCCAUGGCCGCGUGUAUGAAGAAGGCCUUCGGGUUGUAAAGUACUUUCAGCAGUGAGGAAGGUGGGUAUGUUAAUAGCAUACUCAUUUGACGUUAGCUGCAGAAGAAGCACCGGCUAACUCCGUGCCAGCAGCCGCGGUAAUACGGAGGGUGCGAGCGUUAAUCGGAAUUACUGGGCGUAAAAGCGCAUGCAGGUGGUUUGUUAAGUCAGAUGUGAAAGCCCGGGGCUCAACCUCGGAAUUGCAUUUGAAAACUGGCAAACUAGAGUACUGUAGAGGGGGUAGAAUUUCAGGUGUAGCGGUGAAAAUGCGUAGAGAUCUGAAGGAAUACCGGUGGCGAAGGCGGCCCCCUGGACAGAUACUGACACUCAGAUGCGAAAGCGUGGGGAGCAAACAGGAUUAGAUACCCUGGUAG
RNAcentral lists this ribosomal RNA (469 nucleotides) under uncultured bacterium. RNAcentral describes it as "bacterial SSU rRNA". It matches the Rfam family "Bacterial small subunit ribosomal RNA", at positions 335 to 793 of the family's 1533-position model. The record is from RNAcentral.